RNAcentral lists this ribosomal RNA (497 nucleotides) under uncultured bacterium. Its description in RNAcentral is "partial 16S ribosomal RNA". It matches the Rfam family "Bacterial small subunit ribosomal RNA", at positions 28 to 507 of the family's 1533-position model. The record is from RNAcentral.
GAGGAACGCUGGCGGCGUGCCUAAUACAUGCAAGUCGAGCGAACAGACGAGGAGCUUGCUCCUCUGACGUUAGCGGCGGACGGGUGAGUAACACGUGGAUAACCUACCUAUAAGACUGGGAUAACUUCGGGAAACCGGAGCUAAUACCGGAUAAUAUAUUGAACCGCAUGGUUCAAUAGUGAAAGACGGUUGGGCGGCCACUUAGAGAUGGAUCCGCGCCGCAUUAGCUAGGGCGUAAGGGAACGGCUUACCAAGGCAACGAGGCGUAGCCGACCUGAGAGCGUGGUCGGCCACACUGGAACUGACGCACGGUCCAGACUCCUACAGGAGGCAGCAAAAGGACAACCUCCGCCAUGGGCUCCAGGCUGACGGCAUAGCGACAAGAAAGAUAUGAAAGUCUUGGGAACGUAUAACACUAUUGAUGCGGACACAACAGAGUGUCCGCACGACGGCGCUUCUUGGCGUUGCCGGGUCAGAAAGCCCCGGCUCCCUACGUG